AAAAUUGUUGGGAUAUUUAGAAGUGAUGUAAAUAUAAUAGAUUAGUGGUGUGUAGAUAAAUUUUCACUUCAGGGUUAUCACCCGAAGUUCAAAUUUAUACUAUUAUUAAUUAUCAACUGGGUUUACAAUAAAAUUUAAAUAAAUAAAAUAUUUGGUAUGAACGAGCUGAGAAGAAAAAUCCUGCCGACGUCUGGUUCUUCCGUGAAAGGAACACGAUUACUGUAUUUCGUCCUUCACCUUAUAUUGUUCUUGUAAUUAGCGAAACCCAACUGAAAAUUUAAAGCCUUUUAAAGCCCCAUUGACAGUCCUUACUAAUUUCUUUUUUAUAUAUCAGCUUCGAAUCUACUUAUAAAUAAUCUACAUACACUUCUCUGUUUCUCUUGCUCGCUUUGUGUUUGUGAAAACUCCGAAGCGAGGGUAUGGCUUUAUCGGCGGCAGUUGUGAUCUUGCCGUUGGGGGUUCUCUUCUUCAUCUCAGGCCUUGUUGUCAAUUUAUUUCAGGCAGUCUGCUUCGCCCUCAUUCGGCCGUUUUCGAAGAACACCUACAGAAGGAUUAACAGAGCUCUUGCUCAAUUGUUGUGGCUGGAACUUGUGUGGCUGGUUGACUGGUGGGCAGGAGUUAAGAUAAAAUUAUUUACUGAUCCAGAAACCUUUCAUUUAAUGGGUAAAGAACAUGCACUUCUUGUAUCAAAUCAUAGAAGUGACAUCGAUUGGCUCGUCGGGUGGGUUUUGGCUCAGCGGUCAGGUUGCCUUGGCAGUGCCUUGGCUGUAAUGAAGAACUCUUUAAAAGUCCUUCCAGUUAUUGGUUGGUCAAUGUGGUUUUCUGAGUAUCUUUUUCUAGAAAGAAGCUGGGCGAAAGAUGAAUACACAUUGAAGACAGGUCUUUUACAGCUAGAAGACUUCCCUCAGCCCUUUUGGUUGGCUCUCUUUGUUGAAGGAACACGCUUUACAAAGGCAAAGCUUUUAGCAUCUCAGGAAUAUGCAGCCUCAACUGGAUUGCCUGUUCCUAGAAAUGUUUUGAUUCCUCGGACCAAGGGGUUUGUUACAGCUGUAAGUCAUAUGCGUUCAUUUGUCCCAGCCAUUUAUGAUGUAACAGUUGCUAUUCCAAAAGGUUCACCUCCACCUACAAUGCUUAGACUAAUCAUGGGGCAGUCUUCCGUGGUCCAUGUGCAUCUUAAACGGCAUAUGAUGAAGGAUUUACCUGAGACAGAUGAAGCUGUUGCUCAAUGGUGUAGAGAAAUGUUUGUGGCCAAGGAUGCUUUAUUGGACAAACAUUUGGCUGCAGACACCUUCAGCGGCCAAGAACAACAGGAUAUUGACAGGCCAUUAAAGUCACUUGUUGUUGUUUCCUCUUGGACAUGUCUGCUUGUUAUGGGUACUCUGAAGUUCCUCCAAUGGCCGUCUCUUCUUUCCUCCUGGAAGGGCAUUGCAUUCUCAGCACUUGGUUUGGCCAUCGUUACUGUCGUGAUGCACAUCUUGAUUCGAUUCUCUCAGGCAGAACAUUCAACCGCUGCAAAGGUUGUGCCAGUGAAGCCAAAGACCAGUGGAGAGUCGUCAGAGAGUGGACAAGACAAACAACAGUAAAAGUAACCAUUCGUUCUGUAAUCCGUCACUUAACAAGUUCACCACAAGCCAUCUUGUAAACUUGCAAUACAGUGUCUCUGUAUCAAUUCCUUAUCUGCAGGCUAGGAUGCUUAUUUCCUGCUUAUAGGAUCAACACAGACUUGGGCUAGUCUUCUGUUUAUGAAUUUUCACCUCUCUCUACACAUCUAUAGAAAUUUUGAGGCUUUUUGGAAGUCGAAAA
This is an RNA transcript of Tripterygium wilfordii, 1803 nucleotides long. It is a transcript of the gene named 1-acyl-sn-glycerol-3-phosphate acyltransferase 2-like, with no coding region annotated. NCBI's taxonomy places the organism in Eukaryota, Viridiplantae, Streptophyta, Magnoliopsida, Celastrales, Celastraceae. The transcript has 12 exons. The record is from RefSeq and is a predicted model, not a curated record.